RNAcentral lists this ribosomal RNA (550 nucleotides) under Pezizomycotina. RNAcentral's name for it is "eukaryotic LSU rRNA". The stretch from base 191 to 344 matches the Rfam family "5.8S ribosomal RNA". The record is from RNAcentral. Lineage: Eukaryota; Fungi; Ascomycota.
CCUGCGGAGGGAUCAUUACAGAGUUGCAAAACUCCCUAAACCAUUGUGAACGUUACCUACAAACCGUUGCUUCGGCGGGCGGCUCCGGGCCCGCCCGGUGCCCCUCGGCCCCCCCAGCGGGGCGCCCGCCGGAGGAAACCCAACUCUUGAUAUCAUGGCCUCUCUGAGUCUUCUGUACUGAAUAAGUCAAAACUUUCAACAACGGAUCUCUUGGUUCUGGCAUCGAUGAAGAACGCAGCGAAAUGCGAUAAGUAAUGUGAAUUGCAGAAUUCAGUGAAUCAUCGAAUCUUUGAACGCACAUUGCGCCCGCCAGUAUUCUGGCGGGCAUGCCUGUUCGAGCGUCAUUUCAACCAUCAAGCCCAGGGCUUGUGUUGGGGACCUGCGGCUGCCGCAGGCCCUGAAAACCAGUGGCGGGCUCGCUGUCACACCGGGCGUAGUAGAUUUUAUCUCGCUCAGGGCGUGCUGCGGGUUCCGGCCGUUAAAAAGCCUUUUUUACCCAAGGUUGACCUCGGAUCAGGUAGGAAUACCCGCUGAACUUAAGCAUAUCAAU